UGGGGAAUAUUGCACAAUGGGCGCAAGCCUGAUGCAGCCAUGCCGCGUGUAUGAAGAAGGCCUUCGGGUUGUAAAGUACUUUCAGCGGGGAGGAAGGGAGUAAAGUUAAUACCUUUGCUCAUUGACGUUACCCGCAGAAGAAGCACCGGCUAACUCCGUGCCAGCAGCCGCGGUAAUACGGAGGGUGCAAGCGUUAAUCGGAAUUACUGGGCGUAAAGCGCACGCAGGCGGUUUGUUAAGUCAGAGGUGAAAUCCCCGGGCUCAACCUGGGAACUGCAUCUGAUACUGGCAAGCUUGAGUCUCGUAGAGGGGGGUAGAAUUCCAGGUGUAGCGGUGAAAUGCGUAGAGAUCUGGAGGAAUACCGGUGGCGAAGGCGGCCCCCUGGACGAAGACUGACGCUCAGGUGCGAAAGCGUGGGGAGCAAACA
Molecule: ribosomal RNA, 427 nt
Filed under: uncultured bacterium
Lineage: Bacteria
Description: partial 16S ribosomal RNA
Rfam family: Bacterial small subunit ribosomal RNA
Source: RNAcentral